UUAGCAACCAGGAAAGUGCCCCAAGAGAAGGGCUCUGUACGGAGACGCCGGGCCGGGCCUGCACAGGACGUCCCCUCCACGGUGGCCGGGAGACCACCACGCUCCUGGGGCAGGUCCCCACCCAGCUCCGCGGGCAGCGGCGGGGGCCUCCCCUCCCUGGGUCGACCACAGUGGUGGCCUGUGGGGCAGCAGGUGUCCCCUGGGCCGUAGGGAUGUGCAUCGUGUGAGCGGGCCUGGGAAGAGCGCGGACGCCAGCGAGGACCGGGCUGACCGUCUGCCUUCCUCUGCGUCUCACACGGCAAGAAUGAGGCAUUUCUGCUCCUUUCCGGUGUGGACUGUGGGGUGUCCUGCACGGCUCAGUCCUGUGGGUUGGUCAGCGCAGUGGGGAAGGGCUGUGAGUGACCAGGACCCCGCCAGCAUGCGGCCCCGUGGCCCGUUCACACGGAGCCUGGACCAAGCCCGGGACAGCGGGCCCCGUGCCUCAGUCUCCCCAUCCACCAGGAGCUACCUGGCCACAGCUCUGGGUGACACUCCCGAUGAAACCACGGUGACCCCCGAUGACCUACUGUUUCCUGAGCACGCAAGCGAAUGGACUCUGAGUCAUGCAGGGGUCACCAU
Molecule: long non-coding RNA, 618 nt
Organism: Nyctereutes procyonoides (raccoon dog)
Lineage: Eukaryota; Metazoa; Chordata; Mammalia; Carnivora; Canidae
Exons: 4
Source: RefSeq, a predicted model, not a curated record